UGCACAUAUAUUGUUGACCAACUUUGAAGAAAUUAAUAUAUAUAAUGGAAAAUUAAGGGAGGCCAAGACAUAAAGUAACUAUGUGCCUGCAGGUCAUAUACCAGAAGAACUACUGCUGCUCUCAGCAGAAGGAAACAACAUGGACUGAAGCCACUUCCUGCUCCUGACUAACUGUAUGGACAUGGGCAAGCUGUGUGAUCUCUGUGAACCUCCUAGUCUUCAUUUCUAAAAUGGGUGAGGAUAACGACACCAAAAUGAUAGGAUUACGUUGAGAAUUACAAACAAUAAUAUAUAUUUUGUUAGCUGAUAGUGACUUAAGUUGAGCAUUCAACUUAUGAUUUAUGUAUUGUUAUGUCUAUUAAUAAUAUUAG
Molecule: long non-coding RNA, 371 nt
Filed under: Callithrix jacchus (white-tufted-ear marmoset)
Lineage: Eukaryota; Metazoa; Chordata; Mammalia; Primates; Cebidae
Description: lncRNA (ENSCJAG00000082148.1)
Source: RNAcentral